Molecule: long non-coding RNA, 1032 nt
Organism: Vicia villosa (hairy vetch)
Lineage: Eukaryota; Viridiplantae; Streptophyta; Magnoliopsida; Fabales; Fabaceae
Exons: 4
Source: RefSeq, a predicted model, not a curated record
UGAAACUUGACACGUGAGAGUCACACGUUCGAAAUUCUCAACAGAAUCUCGAUGUUAGGGUUUUGCUUUCUCAAGUUUUCAACAGAAUCUCGAUGUUAGGGUUUUGCUUUUUCAAUUCGAGAAACUAGUUAGCGUAAGGUCGUUCAUUCACCUCGAUCGUUUCCCUCAAUGCUCGAGGAUUCUGAAAGAGGCUUCGGUUCAGAUUGCUUCCCAACAACAUCGCAACUCACUCGGACACAAAAAAUAAGGAUUUGUCAACAUAAAAUGGAUGAUUGUUUGGGAACCUCAUCUUUAGAAGGCCAUAACUAUGAUUCUUUCUACUGCUAAUGAUUCCAAAUGGCAAACUAGAUCUGCAUGCUUUCUUGUACAGGUCUGAGAACAUGCUGCAGCAGUUUUAACAGGAUUAAUGAAGGGUGGAGGUGAAGAUCUGGCUAAAGAUUUCCGCGAUGCGAUCGAGCUUAUGUUGAGGCAACUAUUGUACAAAAGAGAAUAAACUCAAGUGCUGACUAAAUAGAGCGAGCUUGGCAGAUCGUGGAUCAGAUUCCUGGGAGAGCAACUGGUGCCUAUAGUCAUAGUCUUAUGGGGUUGUCUAAUUUGGUUUAUUUGAUUAUCAUCCCUUCACUGGACACUGGAUGAGCCUUGAAAUUGUUCUUUUUUCCACAUCAGGGUUUGCACGAUAUAAUAGCUGUUAGAAUUGGAGAGGGUGGUGGUUUUUUUUGCUAUUGCCAAUGACAUUUUCUUGACAGAAGGUGCAAGCCUAGCAGUACGUAUCUACUUUGCUUUUGAUAAUUGUUUGCUUUUUGUUUUGUUAAGAUUUAAAAUCUAUCACAACCUUUACCAGUAGUGCACUAGAGAAAAAGGGAAAUUAAAAAAAUAGAUAAAACUCACACAACCACAUAUAUGAUUAAAUGAAAUUAUCGUAAUGUACAAGGCAUGUUGCAUAGAUUAAACAAUUGUUGUAACGUACAAGGCAUGUUGCAUUAAGCCAAAUAAUAAUAUAGACACAGAAUAUCUAAAGUCUUUGUUUUCUUU